Astatotilapia calliptera (eastern happy) is the source of this 1041-nucleotide long non-coding RNA. Lineage: Eukaryota; Metazoa; Chordata; Actinopteri; Cichliformes; Cichlidae. The record is from Ensembl.
AAGCGACUGAGCGAGAGGGCGGGGCAGCUGCUGCCUGUGAGUGCGCUGUUGUAGAGACGGAGCCAGCCAUACUAAGGAGAGCUUAAGUUUGACCAGUUCUUACCCUCCCCGACUAAAUCGGUUUCAGUUAUGUACUGAAAUAUAAGAAUGGACAUUAGAGGCUUCUUUCAAAGAAAAAACUCAGGUAAAUGUUAUUUUAUAUAUUAUGCUUUGUAUGUUGUUCAGUAUAUUUCUAUGCAAAACAAGAGGGAUUUCAGUACACAGCAGGAUAUUCACAUUUGGUUUUUUUUGUUUUUUUUCCCGAUAUUUUUAUUAAAGUUUUUGCAUCGACUUUUACAAAAGACAAAUUGAACAAUAUGCCGUUUUCUUUUUAAAGAACAUAAAGCAAUAUAAGACAUACACUCCCACCUCAUAAUUAUAGCAGUACCAGUGGGUGUACAAACAGGAAAAGGAAAAAAAUCCAAUCUAAUAAUACUAGUAACAAACCCUAGGGUACAAGACAACAGUUCCUGAGUGUACAAGGGAGAUGUGGAGAGUAUCCAAAACCCCCACCUCCACACAGACACAUAAAAACCAAAACACACAAACAAACAAAAAACAAACAAAAAAAAAAAAAAAACCACACAUGAUAAAUGGUCAGCUUAGUUAUAGGGAUAAAUCAAUUCUGUUAGAGAAAAGAAAUAUGUAUAAAGUAGUUAAAUAAAUACCAUCAUAGAACGCAGGCACAAUAGAAUCCAUAUACUUAAACUUAGGCCUCUUACUUGAACAUAAGAUAAGAAAAAAUAAAAUAUGAUAGAGUCUGAACUGGCUAAUUGGGAGCAUUGCGAGACCGCAAAGUCUGAACAUGAUCAAAAAAGGGUUGCCAGGUCUUAAAAAAUUUGGCCGUAGACCCGCGCAGGGUGAAUUUAAUCUUUUCGAGUUUGCUAAAAUGCAGAACGUCUCUGAUCCAGAUUUCCCAGGAUGGGGCAGAAGGGGACUUCCAACAUAGCAAUAUUCUGCGUCUUGCCAAUAAGGUGAGAAAUGCGACCAGAUCCGCUUGAG